Molecule: ribosomal RNA, 465 nt
Filed under: Vreelandella stevensii
Lineage: Bacteria; Pseudomonadati; Pseudomonadota; Gammaproteobacteria; Oceanospirillales; Halomonadaceae
Description: partial 16S ribosomal RNA
Rfam family: Bacterial small subunit ribosomal RNA
Source: RNAcentral
CCUACGGGUGGCAGCAGUGGGGAAUAUUGGACAAUGGGGGCAACCCUGAUCCAGCCAUGCCGCGUGUGUGAAGAAGGCCCUCGGGUUGUAAAGCACUUUCAGUGAGGAAGAACGCCUGGUGGUUAAUACCCAUCAGGAAAGACAUCACUCACAGAAGAAGCACCGGCUAACUCCGUGCCAGCAGCCGCGGUAAUACGGAGGGUGCGAGCGUUAAUCGGAAUUACUGGGCGUAAAGCGCGCGUAGGUGGCUUGAUAAGCCGGUUGUGAAAGCCCCGGGCUCAACCUGGGAACGGCAUCCGGAACUGUCAAGCUAGAGUGCAGGAGAGGAAGGUAGAAUUCCCGGUGUAGCGGUGAAAUGCGUAGAGAUCGGGAGGAAUACCAGUGGCGAAGGCGGCCUUCUGGACUGACUCUGACACUGAGGUGCGAAAGCGUGGGUAGCAAACAGGAUUAGAUACCCCAGUAGUC